CCUACGGGAGGCAGCAGUAGGGAAUUUUCGUCAAUGGGCGCAAGCCUGAACGAGCGAUGCCGCGUGAGUGAAGAAGGCCUUCUGGUCGUAAAGCUCUGUUGCGGGGGAAAAAAGGCAGCAUCAGGAAAUGGGAGCUGACUGAUGGUGCCCCGCCAGAAAGUCACGGCUAACUACGUGCCCGCAGCCGCGGUAAUACGUAGGUGGCGAGCGUUAUCCGGACGGAUUGGGCGUAAAGGGUGCGCAGGCGGUCCUGCAAGUCUGGAGUGCAACGCAUGAUCUCAACUCAUGAAUGGCUUUGGAAAGUGGAGGACUGGAGAGCAGGAGAGGGCGGUGGAACUCCAUGUGUAGAGGUAAAAUGCGUAGAUAUAUGGAAGAACAACAGUGGCGAAGGCGGACGCCUGGCCUGUUGCUGACGCUGAGGCACGAAAGCGUGGGGAGCAAAUAGGAUUAGAUACCCUAGUAGUC
This 465-nucleotide ribosomal RNA is filed under the name uncultured bacterium. RNAcentral's name for it is "partial 16S ribosomal RNA". It matches the Rfam family "Bacterial small subunit ribosomal RNA", at positions 338 to 795 of the family's 1533-position model. The record is from RNAcentral.